GACGAACGCUGGCGGCGUGCUUAACACAUGCAAGUCGAACGGAAAGGCCCUGCUUUUGUGGGGUGCUCGAGUGGCGAACGGGUGAGUAACACGUGAGUAACCUGCCCUUGACUUUGGGAUAACUUCAGGAAACUGGGGCUAAUACCGGAUAGGAGCUCCUGCUGCAUGGUGGGGGUUGGAGAGUUUCGGCGGUUGGGGGUGGGCUCGCGGCUUAGCCGCGUGUGGGUGGGGUAAUGGCUUCCCAAGGGGUUGACGGGUAGGCGGCCUGAGAGGGUGUACGGCCAGAUUGGGACGGAGCUACGGCCCAGACUCCUACGGGAGGCAGCAGUGGGGAGUAUUGCACAAUGGGCGCAAGCCUGAUGCAGCGACGCCGCGUGGGGGAUGACGGCCUUCGGAUUGGAAACUCCUUUCGCUAGGGACGAAGCGUUUUGUGACGGUACCUGGAGAAGAAGCACCGGCUAACUACGUG
Molecule: ribosomal RNA, 469 nt
Filed under: uncultured bacterium
Lineage: Bacteria
Description: partial 16S ribosomal RNA
Rfam family: Bacterial small subunit ribosomal RNA
Source: RNAcentral